This 561-nucleotide ribosomal RNA is filed under the name uncultured bacterium. Its description in RNAcentral is "bacterial SSU rRNA". It matches the Rfam family "Bacterial small subunit ribosomal RNA", at positions 224 to 801 of the family's 1533-position model. The record is from RNAcentral.
GAUGAGCCCGCGUAGGAUUAGCUAGUUGGUGUGGUAAACCGCGCACCAAGGCGACGAUCCUUAGCUGGUCUGAGAGGAUGAUCAGCCACACUGGGACUGAGACACGGCCCAGACUCCUACGGGAGGCAGCAGUGGGGAAUAUUGGACAAUGGGCGCAAGCCUGAUCCAGCAAUGCCGCGUGAGUGAUGAAGGCCUUAGGGUUGUAAAGCUCUUUUACCCGGGAUGAUAUUGACAGUACCGGGAGAAUAAGCCCCGGCUAACUCCGUGCCAGCAGCCGCGGUAAUACGGAGGGGGCUAGCGUUGUUCGGAAUUACUGGGCGUAAAGCGCACGUAGGCGGCUUUGUAAGUUAGAGGUGAAAGCCUGGAGCUCAACUCCAGAACUGCCUUUAAGACUGCAUCGCUUGAAUCCAGGAGAGGUGAGUGGAAUUCCGAGUGUAGAGGUGAAAUUCGUAGAUAUUCGGAAGAACACCAGUGGCGAAGGCGGCUCACUGGACUGGUAUUGACGCUGAGGUGCGAAAGCGUGGGGAGCAAACAGGGUUAGAUACCCUGGUAGUCCACGCC